Molecule: ribosomal RNA, 253 nt
Filed under: uncultured bacterium
Lineage: Bacteria
Description: partial 16S ribosomal RNA
Rfam family: Bacterial small subunit ribosomal RNA
Source: RNAcentral
UACGUAGGUGGCAAGCGUUAUCCGGAUUUACUGGGUGUAAAGGGCGUGUAGGCGGGGACGCAAGUCAGAUGUGAAAACCACGGGCUCAACCUGUGGCCUGCAUUUGAAACUGUGUUUCUUGAGUACUGGAGAGGCAGACGGAAUUCCUAGUGUAGCGGUGAAAUGCGUAGAUAUUAGGAGGAACACCAGUGGCGAAAGCGGCUCUCUGGCCUGUAACUGACACUGAGGCUCGAAAGCGUGGGGAGCAAACAGG